Molecule: ribosomal RNA, 562 nt
Filed under: Nitzschia vermicularis
Lineage: Eukaryota; Bacillariophyta; Bacillariophyceae; Bacillariales; Bacillariaceae
Description: SSU rRNA
Rfam family: Eukaryotic small subunit ribosomal RNA
Source: RNAcentral
AUAGCGUAUAUUAAAGUUGUUGCAGUUAAAAAGCUCGUAGUUGAAUUUGUGGUUGUUGUUUGCGACUCGGCAUUCGUGCUGUUGUUUGCAAAUGGCACCAUCCUUGGGUGGAACCUACGUGGCAUUAGGUUGUCGUGUAGGGAAUGCUCAUCAUUUACUGUGAAAAAAUUAGAGUGUUCAAAGCAGGCUUAUGCCGUUGAAUAUAUUAGCAUGGAAUAAUAAGAUAGGACCUCGGUACUAUUUUGUUGGUUUGCGCAUCGAGGUAAUGAUUAAUAGGGACAGUUGGGGGUAUUCGUAUUCCAUUGUCAGAGGUGAAAUUCUUGGAUUUUUGGAAGACGAACUACUGCGAAAGCAUUUACCAAGGAUGUUUUCAUUAAUCAAGAACGAAAGUUAGGGGAUCGAAGAUGAUUAGAUACCAUCGUAGUCUUAACCAUAAACUAUGCCGACAAGGGAUUGGCGGAGUUUCGUUAUGUCUCCGUCAGCACCUAAUGAGAAAUCGAGUCUUUGGGUUCCGGGGGGAGUAUGGUCGCAAGGCUGAAACUUAAAGAAAUUGACGGACUUG